RNAcentral lists this RNase P RNA (326 nucleotides) under Candidatus Woesearchaeota archaeon. RNAcentral's name for it is "RNase P RNA component". It matches the Rfam family "Archaeal RNase P". Rfam says of the family: Ribonuclease P (RNase P) is a ubiquitous endoribonuclease, found in archaea, bacteria and eukarya as well as chloroplasts and mitochondria. The record is from RNAcentral. Lineage: Archaea; Nanobdellati; Candidatus Woesearchaeota.
GGACCGCAAUUUGACAAACGGAGAUUUGGGUUCAAUACCUAAACCACUGAGGAAAGUCCGCCCACUUUUGUGGCCACCUGCGAUAGCAGGGCAGGGAAACCUGCGGCAACAGCUCAGAAACGAAACCACCUCUUGGUAGGAUGAUGGGUGCGAAGUCCUGGGUGACUGGGAUGAGUUAACCCCCUGACAUUCCUUGAGGAAGGGAUUAAACGGCUAGCCCUGGUCUGUGCAAGUCUUUAAGACGCUAAGUUUAAUGUCAAAACAGAGCAUCGCAUUGGCUUAUUGCUUAAUGUUCGGCUCUGACAGAAGGCGGCUUAUUGCGGUCC